Balaenoptera ricei (Rice's whale) is the source of this 4186-nucleotide long non-coding RNA. RefSeq lists it as uncharacterized. NCBI's taxonomy places the organism in Eukaryota, Metazoa, Chordata, Mammalia, Artiodactyla, Balaenopteridae. The record is from RefSeq and is a predicted model, not a curated record. The transcript has 2 exons.
GGCGGUGACUGGCCAGGCAUCACGUACGCGCCCGCGGCGGGCGGGGCUGCAGCCUCAGCGCCCCACCUGCCGCACCCCCCCCAGGCCCCGCCCGGCUCAAGGGCGAAGGGAAGGUCACGGGCAGGGCGGGUGGCAGGCGAGGGCGCCGGACCCAACACUUAAGCAUCCCUGCACCGUGUGUGGUGAAAAUGAGGCAUCAGGGCCUUUCAACUCAUCCGGGACAGGAGGAAGAAGUAAAUAAACAAAUACCUGCUGUGGACAAGGCCAGAGAUCUGAUCUCUGCCCCGGGCCGGAGGUAAUGGAGCAACUUCUAAACACCCGUGGUCAUCUGAGUCGCCUGGCCUGGUUUUUCCCUCUCCACCAGAACCACGGAAGUCCAGUUUCUGGGAGUGCUGCCAGAAAAGGUGUAUUUUUAACAAGUUCCAACGCAUUCUGAUGACUGCAGAACCCGAGAGCACCUGUUCUAACGGGUUGAGCCUGAGCGAGUGAUGCUGAGAAGAUACUGGGCAUCUUAAAGGUGUCCCCGGGGUGCCCUUCACUCUUCCGGUGCAGGAGGGCGGAGCCAGGCUGUGCAGCUCCACCCAGAGGUGUCCCCGGCCCAGGAUUUGUGCUGUAGAAUCAUCCAUCCCUUUGUAGGGCAUUCUACACUUUCCAAAGUUGGUACACACUGAAUUUUAUUUUAGCCAAAAGGCCUUUAUCUUCUUAUAAAAUUGAUAUUUUUGUAAUUUAGAGGAUUGGCCAUUUGUCAUCGAGUUGUCUGUCAUAUAGGAAACAAUAGAUACAAACUAAGAGUCCAAACAAUGGGUUAAGUAAAUUUUGAUACAAAUAUAUAAGUAGUUUUCUAUUGCUGGUAUGGUUAUGAAGAUAAAUAUCCAUUUACAUGGAAGUAUAUUCAGGAUAUAUUGAUAAAUGAAGAAGCAGUGUCAGAAAUACCAUGAACCUCUGUGUGUGUGUGUGUGUGUGUGUGUUGUGUGUGUGUGUAUGUACACGCGCGCACAUGCACGAGCGUAAAUUUAGAUGUAAAUAAAUUUAGAUAUUUUAAUUUCCUUUCUUCUUAUUAUUAUAGGUAUUGUCUUUUUCUCCAAUGAACAAGUAUUGUUUUUGGAAUAAAAUAUUAUACUUCAUUAAAAACAAUAAAAUUUAGAGUUGUCAGACCGCCAAGGUUAUGUCUGUUUUGCAAAAGCUGAGGUCUCUUUAGGCAGCAUUGUGGUUCAGACAGGUAAUUCCUUAUUCUUUCCAGUUAGGCCCAUGAGCUCUGACCCAUCGCUCAGUCUAUCAGGGUGUAAAAUACAGACGGCUGCAGCAACUACGGAAAGACAUGGCCAUCUCUCCCUUCUUUUUCUUUUGCAGUACAUGCAUUUUAGUAGUUCUUCAGCUGGUGGUGGGGUUGUUUGUUUGUUUGUUUUAACUUUGGCCUUAGAAGAGGCUUCUCUGAUACAAGAGGGAGAAUUGCAGGGCAUGUGGAGGGUACAGCUUACCUCCAGCAGGACAUGCCACGUGCCUUAGUUCUCCAUUGCCGCCUAAAAAAUUACCCCAAGCUUUUGUGGCUUAUAUGAGCACCCAUUUACAUCACAGGAAUAUCAUCCCAGGGCUUUGCUGGACUCUCUGCUCCUUGUCUCAGAAGCUGCAACAAGGUAUCGGCCGGGGUCCGAAGUCUCAUCUGAUCCCUCAUCUUGGCAGUUUCCUUCCGUCCCAAGCCCUGAGCUGACUUUGAGCUAAUCUACAACCACAGCUCCAUAACCAUCUUCCCUUUUCCUGGUGCCUCAUCUUCCCUGGCCUUCUUCCCUAGACUUUACAAAGCCCAAGAACAAAUGCAACCACUUGCUAAACAAGGAAACGCUGCCUUCAACUCCCCCCGUCCGCCAGUUGUCUUUCAGUGUCUUUGUCCAAACUGAGAAAUAAUUCUGCUAUAUAUCUAGCAGCUACACUUUAAAUUAUAUAUAAAAGAGUUGGAUGCCCUCCAAGACCUUGACGCAGAAUCAUGUCGUCCUGAACCAAUGAAAGUCAAUAUUUAAACACUUUCCAAAGAAAAUGGAAAGAAAGCCCGUCUCAUUAUUUCUGCAAAGUACGUGGCCAUUAAAAGUUUUAACCCCUCCAGGAAAUGUCAUUGAUGAUGUGAACUGGACCCUCUCACAGCACAACUAUUUCCUUCUCCUGUGUUGGUGAAAGUUGAUUAAUGGAGACUUCCUCAAAAUUCCAACACUUCUCUCGUAACAGGAGAGCACAGGUGCUGAUAAGGCAGAAGAAACUGACCUGUUCUUUCAGAGGAACUUCCGUAAUUGCGGUUAUUUCAGAAAACAGAGGAUAGGAGAGAUGGCUGUCUGUUGAAAAAUGAGUUAUACAGGAAUUUCCCAGUUAGGAAAGGAAAUUAUGAUGAUUUUAGCAGUGUGCCACGUGAUGGUUAAUUUUACGUGUCAUCUUGGCUGGAUCACGGGUGCCCACAUAGCUGGCAAAACAUUGUCUCUGGAGGGGAUGGUGAGGAUGUUUCCAAUGAGAUUAACAUUUGAAUCAGUGAACUGAGUGAAGCAGAUGCCCUCCCUGAUGUGGAGGUGUGAGGCCCAGCCAACCCCCUGAGGGCCUGAGGAAGGGUGAAUUUGUCCUCCUUCUCUCUCCCCAUGUGUGUAUAUGUAUAUAUAUAUAUAUAUGUAUAUAUAUAUAUAUAUACAUAUAUAUAUAUAUAUAUAUCAAACUGGUUCUGCUUCUUUGGAGGAGCCUGACUAGUACAUACACUCUGGUUAAAUAUGUUCAUUCUAUGUUUUAGUUGUGAGAUGCUAAAUCUGAAUACCAAUUUGCAUAUGGUCUAUACAGAGUCCUGUGUCCCUGAUGGCAUUUACACGUUUGAAUUUGUAGUGACAAGUUCUCAAAGCUCCCUUACUUCUGUAUCAGAAUCGAAGCGCUUCAUGGCCAGCAUUCAAGGGCAAACAUGCUGAAAUAUCCGAAACCAAAGCUAUAAACAAUAGCGCUUUUUCAGUUCGCAGACGGGCACACGUGGACCAUGCGUGUGUGAUUGGCAAUGCCAGCAUGUAGCAGAAGUUUUGAACGUUUUUGGGUGUAAAACUUCUAAGAUUCCCAUGUAAGCCACAGAUGUCUUCCUCUACCCGAAUGUGCAUAUAUACACACACACAAGCCCCGGCGUGUUGCAUACAGUGUAGGGAACUCAUGAGUCUGGUGACUGACCAGGCCACAGCCGAGGACAGAGGAUGGAGCUUGGUCACAGGUCCAAGCGGCGGAAAGCUGAGUCCUCCCAAGCGGCCUCCCUCUGGCUGCUCACCGUUCACCAUUGGGACCUUGUCUUAUCUCAGAGCCCAAGCCGAGCUCAGGCCAGAUGGGGACCGGGGGCCCGUUCCCGGGGAAGCACUGGGGUCUUAGUCCUGAGUCUGGGGGAAACACCCCUCCCCUCCCCUGUGAUGCUGUUUGGAAAGCAUCGCUUUAAGAGCUCCAGCUGUCUCUCCACUGAUGACGUGGUCCUUUGAUCCUCUUUAGGAGCAGACUAUUCUUUCGUCUAUAAAACCUUUUCACCAGCAUAGGCCAUUCACUUAGAGCCAUAUUUCAGCAAUCAUGAGGCAUUUCUGCAGCAGUCGGGGCUGAUCUUUUUGUCAUGUGAGGUGAUCUGAGUCCCUUCUGCCCUGGAGUCCAUGGCCCUGCCCCUCCCUCAUCCCCCAGGGCCCUGAGGGCAGCCGGUCACUGGAACUGCUCUCCAGGUCACUUAGGGGGCUCUCUCCUUUCCUCUGUCCAGGUCACCGAGGGCCAUAGGAUGAAGGCCCUCCAGGCACUCCCACCUCAGACUUUAGUGCCAGAGCCCAUGAGAAGGACCGUUUCUGGGGUCACUGGAUCAUCAGGUGGAGAGAGUUUGCACAGCGAAGACAGAGAGAUGAGAGAUGGGGGGAGAGAGACAGAGACAGACAGACAGAGACAGAGAGACACAGAGACAGACAGACAGAGCCAGAGAGAGAAAGCGAAAUCACAACAUUCCUUAAGUUUGCUCCUCACUCAAGCUACCGUCCUGCUUCUGUGCUACGAUAACCACCAAAAAUGUUUAAAAUUGCCACUCCCCCCCUUCCACAUCUUUCCCACUCCCUCAGACUCCCUGAAGUCCUCUUUCCUCUACUACAGCUUCUCUGAAACUUCUGAAUGUCACCAACUGUCUGUCCAAACAACCAGUCAAUAAAACAGCUUUUGAAACCAA